RNAcentral lists this ribosomal RNA (447 nucleotides) under uncultured bacterium. Its description in RNAcentral is "partial 16S ribosomal RNA". It matches the Rfam family "Bacterial small subunit ribosomal RNA", at positions 30 to 523 of the family's 1533-position model. The record is from RNAcentral.
AUUGAACGCUGGCGGCAUGCUUUACACAUGCAAGUCGAGCGCCCCGCAAGGGGAGCGGCAGACGGGUGAGUAACGCGUGGGAAUCUACCCAUCUCUACGGAAUAACUCAGGGAAACUUGUGCUAAUACCGUAUACGCCCUUUUGGGGAAAGAUUUAUCGGAGAUGGGUGAGCCCGCGUUGGAUUAGCUAGUUGGUGGGGUAAAGGCCCACCAAGGCGACGAUCCAUAGCUGGUCUGAGAGGAUGAUCAGCCACAUUGGGACUGAGACACGGCCCAAACUCCUACGGGAGGCAGCAGUGGGGAAUAUUGGACAAUGGGCGCAAGCCUGAUCCAGCCAUGCCGCGUGAGUGAUGAAGGCCCUAGGGUUGUAAAGCUCUUUCACCGGAGAAGAUAAUGACGGUAUCCGGAGAAGAAGCCCCGGCUAACUUCGUGCCAGCCGCCGCAGUAA